UUUUGAUCAUAUGUAGAUCUGUUUAAUUUGUAUGUAAAUAUAUAUGUGUGUGCAGUGCUACACAUUGCUUACAAGAUAUCUACCUUUUCUUUUUAUCUUGUUAUACACGAGUAGAUAUCUAUAGCUUUAUCUUAAAAAAGGAGGUAGAAAAUGGUAAGAAGUAUGCUGACUUUUGUCCAUAAAAGAAACAAUGUGAAUAAUAUUAUUGAAGAAGAAUUGAAGUGUUUAAUUUUGGGGUUCUUUUUUUCCUUUCUUCUUCUGUUUUGUUUUUAUUACCUUUUGUAGGUUUGUUGCUCUUGUCGCUGCUGCUGCCGCGCUGCUACACCUUCCUUCAAUUCCUUUGGGUCAUUCUCUCUCUGCAGGUCGGCAAGAGCCGUGAUGAUCAGAAGGAAUUGAUGGAAGAUUAUUCUUCAAAAUUAAAAGCUGAUCACCGAAACCAGGUUUGAUUUCAAUUCUAAAUCACUACACCAAUGUGGAAGCUCUAGCUUAAUUAUCGAUAAUUUUGCUUUUGUUUAACUAGCUAGAUUGUAUAGAGGAAAUAAAUGUAAAAUUAGUUGGAUUGAAUGGACGAUGGACCAGAUACAUUGUUUACCUUAACUUGUGUUAUCUACCAUGUACGCCACUGCUUACCACGUACAAUAAUAAUAAAAAAAGACUCUGAUUAAUUUAA
Long non-coding RNA from Erigeron canadensis, 670 nucleotides. RefSeq lists it as uncharacterized. The transcript is spliced from 2 exons. The record is from RefSeq and is a predicted model, not a curated record. Lineage: Eukaryota; Viridiplantae; Streptophyta; Magnoliopsida; Asterales; Asteraceae.